This 1111-nucleotide long non-coding RNA is filed under the name Cricetulus griseus (Chinese hamster). RNAcentral's name for it is "lncRNA (ENSCGRG00015034397.1)". Lineage: Eukaryota; Metazoa; Chordata; Mammalia; Rodentia; Cricetidae. The record is from RNAcentral.
AUGGGAUCCGUCUCCUGUGAGCAGUCGCCUUGCCUCACGUAUCCUCAAACAGGGCAGAGGAAGGCAGCCAGGAACAGACCCAAGCCUACCAAGUCCCAUGGAUAGAGAAAAUGUACAGAUCUACAGACACGUGGAGCUAUUGGUGUGCUGUGCAAACUAAAAUUCACUAGAAUACCCACCUCCUAAUGUAUUUGAGUUUAUAGGAUUCAGCUGUUGGGCCCAGAAGACUGGAAUUCUAGUGAGUUACUGGAGAUAGGCUGCAAGAAGAUACCUAGCAAAACUAUUAGAGAUAUUUGAUUCAGGCUCUUGAAGAAAAAGGAUAGUGUGUAGAGAAGAAGUAUGGCUACAGUUAUGCUGAGAGCCUUGAACAGGGAGAGUGAGCUUGGACCACAGGAGUCUUAGAAGAAAGAAACACUUCCCAAUGUUAUAUCCCUGAACACUCUGGCUGCUGUAGUUUUCUGAGCAGUGGAAGUUAAAAGGAUUAGGAAGCAAGAAUUCUCAACAGAAGGAAGAGACUCCAGCUUCUCUUCUGCCAUCCUCUCAUCACUGGACUAAUUCAAUGUGACAAACUUCCUGAGGAUGCCCACUUUGAACAAGGACAGAUGUACCAAUGUCCAAUAUUCCCAUCCCUCCAGCAAGAACUGAAGGAUUUCUUAUGGGUACUUCACUGUCAGGCUACUAAUGACAUCAGCCACAAUCUGAAGCCACUGUUUUUCCUGGUCUUCUAAAAGAUCUACUAGACAAGUGGAGUAUAUAUGGAGAUGAAGCCCUGGCAAUGUAAGAAAGAGAUCAGCAUUUCCCCAACAGGAAGGAAUAGGUCUGAGAUCUGUUUCUGGAGUGCUGGGAGGAGGAGCAAAGCCCCUCAUUUCUAACAAGUUGGGAACAUGGAAGCCGCUGUCUCCUGCACUACACUUCAAUUAUUAAAGAGAUUAUAAGAACAUUCUAUGAUGUUGAUAAGGAUGGAAAAGUAUCACAUUUCCUUUAGAUGAUGACACUAGGACUGGUUACAUCAUAGCCCAAGAGCCCUCAUCCAGUGGCUGAUGGAAGCAGAGGCAGACAUCCACAGAUACACAUGGAACUGAACUCUGGAACUUAGUUGCAGAGAGGGAGG